This 446-nucleotide ribosomal RNA is filed under the name uncultured bacterium. RNAcentral describes it as "partial 16S ribosomal RNA". It matches the Rfam family "Bacterial small subunit ribosomal RNA", at positions 338 to 795 of the family's 1533-position model. The record is from RNAcentral.
CCUACGGGUGGCAGCAGUCGAGAAUCAUUCACAAUGGGGGGAACCCUGAUGGUGCGACGCCGCGUGGGGGAAUGAAGGUCUUCGGAUUGUAAACCCCUGUCAUGUGGGAGCAAAUUAAAAAGAUAGUACCACAAGAGGAAGAGACGGCUAACUCUGUGCCAGCAGCCGCGGUAAUACAGAGGUCUCAAGCGUUGGUCGGAAUCACUGGGCGUAAAGCGUGCGUAGGCUGUUUAGUAAGUCGUGUGUGAAAGGCGCGGGCUCAACCCGCGGACGGCACAUGAUACUGCGAGACUAGAGUAAGGGUGCGGGAACCGGAAUUCUUGGUGUAGCAGUGAAAUGCGUAGAUAUCGAGAGGAACACUCGUGGCGAAGGCGGGUUCCUGGACAUUAACUGACGCUGAGGCACGAAGGCCAGGGGAGCGAAAGGGAUUAGAUACCCCAGUAGUC